AGUCGCGGUCGUUGUGUCUGCGAGAAGGUCAGCCCGAUCCGUAGCUCUAAUCCUGUUAAACUUUUACUAGAUCUGAGCGAUUUCGGGUUUUUUGGAUGGGAAAUGAGAAGCGUCCUGAAAAUAUUUCCUACUUAAAAAGGACAGAUCUACUCACCGGGUGAAAAACAGCUCCACACCCUUCAUCUGCCUACAAGUUAAGAAACAACUACCUAAGCCAUUUCACUAAAUAAAGUAGAAUCACUAAAGAAACAAAUGGGAAACGCCUGCAGAAUUUUAAAUCAAAAUAUUGUUGUUUUAAUGCCAACUUUGCCACUUGUUACCUAGUAAGAUCUAGUAGAAAUAUCAAUUUUUUUUCUUCCGUACGUCUUGACAACCUUACGUGUGUGUCAUACCCACAUAACCAUGUAUGGUUAUUUACAUGGGUUUAGAAAUAAUGAAUACAGAAAAACCUACCCACAACACACACAGAUGAUCUGUUACUUCUUUAAAAGAUUUAUUUUUAUUUUAUGUGUAUAUGCGUGUGCCUGUGUGUAUGUGUGUGCACCGUGUGUGCGUGUGCCUGCAGGAGCUCAAGAAGGAUUGGGGAGGUGUUGUUCCAAGCUGCCAUGUAGGUACUGGGAACUGAACCCAGGCCCUCUGCAAGAGCAAUUAAUUUUCUUAACCACUGGACCGUCUAGCCAGAUCAUUAUCCGUUAAUAGGUUCUCACACAAAGCUUAAGCCUGCCUCAUAGUAAGCCAAAUCCAAAGUACCAACUGAAGCUCGACACCAUUGUGCUUGUCAACAAACUUAAUUGAAUGGCUGUCCCCUGCUAAGCACUGUUGAUACUAUUCCAGUGUCUCUUGCAGAACUGACAGUAGGUAGACACAAAUGUAGGCCAGGUAGCAUAUAGUGAGUGUAAAAUUAAUUAUAUGGACAGUAGCGUAAUGUGUUAGAAACCUAUUCAGGUUCUAAGCAUCAUCAGGUGUAUGACUUUGAAUAAGUUACCCAAACUAGGAGUUUGCACUUUUUGUCUAAAUAAAAAUACUGGAAUACUAUCAUGUUUAUUUGUUGAUUGUGUAUGGCUAUAAUGGUAGAUGUGGGUAGAAGAAAAGGGGAUCUGUGACCUACAAAUGUCUAUAAUCUAGAUCUUGUUAGACAAGAACUCUCAGUAUGGUUCUUUAUUUGUAAAAUGUGAACAUUUACUCUGUUGGUCUCACAAAAUUGGUCAUAAGAAUCUAAUGGGAUAUAAUAUAAAGGUACUUCAUUAAUUUUUGCUUUAAUUUUUAAUAUUUAUUUUAUUAUCGUCUGUGAGUAUUUUGCCUCCUGUAUGUGUGUGUUCUACGUGUGUGCCUGGAGGUCAGAACAGGACAUUGAAUGCCUUGGGCCUGGAGUUACAGAUGCUUCUGAGCUACCAUGGGCAUGCUGGGUGGGAGCUGAACUUAGGUCUUCUGUGAGAGCAACAAGUGUUCCUUACUGCCGAGACAACUGUUCUCCCCUUCGUUAUAAUUUUCUUCUUUUUUACUGGACUAAAAAAAUUUUUUUAUAAAUGUAUAUGGAGGUGUUGUCUGCAUCAUGUCUGAUGUCAUCGAGGAAGGCCAGAAGAGGGCAUUGGAUCUACUGGAUCUGGAUUUACAGAUAUUGUUCGUACCUUGCUUACCUGAUGCCUGCUACCUCCUGAGGAUGAUUUCUGGGCAGCUAUAUGAGGAAACCAAGUCUUUAACAUCCCUUCCACCUGCAGCAAGAUCCUUGCUGUUCCAGAUGAGACGCUGUAUGUUGGUUACUAGAAACCCUGGGUCGAUGUCUGCAGCGG
Molecule: long non-coding RNA, 1790 nt
Organism: Apodemus sylvaticus (European woodmouse)
Lineage: Eukaryota; Metazoa; Chordata; Mammalia; Rodentia; Muridae
Exons: 3
Source: RefSeq, a predicted model, not a curated record